GAAGUGGCGGAACUGGCAGACGCGCAAGCCUCAGGAGCUUGUGGGCCUUAGGCCCGUGGGGGUUCAAAUCCCCCCUUCA
RNAcentral lists this transfer RNA (79 nucleotides) under Acidobacteriota bacterium. Its description in RNAcentral is "Acidobacteria bacterium (sponge metagenome) tRNA-Leu". It matches the Rfam family "tRNA". From Rfam's summary of the family: Transfer RNA (tRNA) molecules are approximately 80 nucleotides in length. Lineage: Bacteria; Pseudomonadati; Acidobacteriota. The record is from RNAcentral.